UUGGAGACACACACACACACACGCACGCACAGAGAGAGAGAGAGAGAGAGAGAGAGAGAGAGAGAGAGCAGAGCAGAGCGCGACAGAGCAAAUCGGUCAUUCGCAGGGGAAGGGAGGGAGAUGCUGCGAUGGCUUAUUACAGUGAUCUUCUUGUUGAAGUUUCUCUGGUGCCGUUUCACACGGUAGCGCUCGAUCCGCUCUUUCCUCUCCACGGCGCUGUACCGGACGACCUUCUGAGAGAACGUCCCGCCACCCUCGUGGCCGCAGGCGUCGGCCGACAGCACCGGGCGCGGCGGCGACGACCCGUUCAUCCCCUGUUCUCAUUGCCAGCACAGCACACCAGCAGAGUUUCAGGUUUCUUUUUUAUUUGUU
RNAcentral lists this unclassified non-coding RNA (372 nucleotides) under Zea mays. RNAcentral describes it as "misc RNA Zm00001eb368210". Lineage: Eukaryota; Viridiplantae; Streptophyta; Magnoliopsida; Poales; Poaceae. The record is from RNAcentral.